UCGAUUACCCAGCGAAGGGCGUCACAUCCGACCACCGCCCCUAAGCCAUCUCUAAAAAACCACAGAAAACCACAAAUCUCUCUCAGAAAAUCACAGAUCCGGCCAACCUCUUCCCCUUUGCCUAUCCAGCGAAAGGCGUCGCCUCCAACCGCCGCUCACCUAACGGUCAUAGCCCCUAAGCCAUCUCUGAAAACCCUAGGCACCAACAGCCGUUCUUCCCUCUUCAAACCCACGACCAUGUCCGCCACCACGACGG
This 256-nucleotide long non-coding RNA is filed under the name Salvia miltiorrhiza (redroot sage). Its description in RNAcentral is "long non-coding RNA (SMIL_LNC000998)". Lineage: Eukaryota; Viridiplantae; Streptophyta; Magnoliopsida; Lamiales; Lamiaceae. The record is from RNAcentral.